Molecule: ribosomal RNA, 207 nt
Filed under: uncultured bacterium
Lineage: Bacteria
Description: partial 16S ribosomal RNA
Rfam family: Bacterial small subunit ribosomal RNA
Source: RNAcentral
CGAGUAGGUGGUUUGUUAAGCGUGUGGUGAAAGCCCGGGGCUCAACCCCGGGUCUGCCGUGCGGACUGGCAAACUCGAGCAGAGUAGAGGCGAGUGGAAUUCCGGGUGUAGCGGUGGAAUGCGUAGAUAUCCGGAAGAACACCGGUGGCGAAGGCGGCUCGCUGGGCUCUUGCUGACACUGAAUCGCGACAGCGUGGGGAGCAAACA